Molecule: unclassified non-coding RNA, 344 nt
Filed under: Calyptella capula
Lineage: Eukaryota; Fungi; Basidiomycota; Agaricomycetes; Agaricales; Porotheleaceae
Description: sequence contains ITS1
Rfam family: 5.8S ribosomal RNA (bases 1-105)
Source: RNAcentral
GAAAUGCGAUAAGUAAUGUGAAUUGCAGAAUUCAGUGAAUCAUCGAAUCUUUGAACGCACCUUGCACUCUUUGGUAUUCCGAAGAGUAUGCUUGUUUGAGUAUCAUUAAAUUCUCAAAACACUACUUGGUUUUAUAUCAAGUCAGUGGCUUUGGAUGUGGAGGUUGCAGGCUUCUUGUAAGGUCUGCUCUUCUUAAAUGCAUUAGUGGUUAUUGAUUCCACUUCUUGGUGUGAUAAUAUCUACGCCUUGUAAGAAUGGAUCUAAUGUAGCUGCUCUCAAACCGUCUGCAAAGACAAUUUGAACCAUUUGAUCUCAAAUCAAGUAGGACUACCCGCUGAACUUAA